Molecule: ribosomal RNA, 405 nt
Filed under: uncultured bacterium
Lineage: Bacteria
Description: partial 16S ribosomal RNA
Rfam family: Bacterial small subunit ribosomal RNA
Source: RNAcentral
GACGAACGCUGGCGGCGUGCUUAACACAUGCAAGUCGAGCGGAGCGGCGAACGGGUGAGUAACGCGUGAGUAACUGCCCCCCUCUCUGGGAUAACAGUUGGAAACGACUGCUAAUACCGGAUAGUGGGGGAUGACUCGCGUCCUAUCAGCUUGUGGGUGGGGUAGUGGCCUACCAAGGCGACGACGGGUCGCCGGCCUGAGAGGGCGACCGGCCUCAUUGGGAGGUGAUACGGCCCAAACUACUACGGGAGGCAGCGGUGGGGAAUAUUGAACCAUGGGGGAAACCCUAAUGCAGCAACGCCGGGUGCGGAAUGACGGCCUUCGGGUUGUAAACCGCUUUCAGCCAGGACGCGGUAGUGGCAGAAGAAGCACCGGCUAACUACGUGCCAGCAGCCGCGGUAAUAC